AUUGAACGCUGGCGGCAUGCUUUACACAUGCAAGUCGAACGGCAGCGCGGGCUUCGGCCUGGCGGCGAGUGGCGAACGGGUGAGUAAUGCAUCGGAACGUGCCCAGUAGUGGGGGUUAGCCCGGCGAAAGCCGGAUUAAUACCGCAUACGACCUGAGGGUGAAAGCGGGGGACCGAAAGGCCUCGCGCUAUUGGAGCGGCCGAUGUCGGAUUAGCUAGUUGGUGGGGUAAAGGCUUACCAAGGCGACGAUCCGUAGCUGGUCUGAGAGGACGACCAGCCACACUGGGACUGAGACACGGCCCAGACUCCUACGGGAGGCAGCAGUGGGGAAUUUUGGACAAUGGGGGCAACCCUGAUCCAGCCAUGCCGCGUGCGGGAAGAAGGCCUUCGGGUUGUAAACCGCUUUUGUUCGGGAAGAAAUCCUCUGGGCUAAUACCCCGGGGGGAUGACGGUACCGGAAGAAUAAGCACCGGCUAACUACGUG
Molecule: ribosomal RNA, 484 nt
Filed under: uncultured bacterium
Lineage: Bacteria
Description: partial 16S ribosomal RNA
Rfam family: Bacterial small subunit ribosomal RNA
Source: RNAcentral